This 275-nucleotide ribosomal RNA is filed under the name uncultured bacterium. RNAcentral's name for it is "partial 16S ribosomal RNA". It matches the Rfam family "Bacterial small subunit ribosomal RNA", at positions 523 to 796 of the family's 1533-position model. The record is from RNAcentral.
AGACGGAGGGCGCAAGCGUUGUUCGGAAUUACUGGGCGUAAAGGGCAGGUAGGUGGUCUGUUAAGUCUUCUGUGAAAAUCCGGGGCUCAACCCCGCGAAAUGCAGGUGAAACUGGCAGACUGGAGACCGGUAGAGGCUAGCGGAAUUCCUGGUGUAGCGGUGGAAUGCGUAGAUAUCAGGAAGAACACCUGUGGCGAAGGCGGCUAGCUGGGCCGGUUCUGACACUAAACUGCGAAAGCGUGGGGAGCAAACAGGAUUAGAUACCCGAGUAGUCC